GACGAACGCUGGCGGCGUGCUUAACACAUGCAAGUCGAGCGGAAAGGCCCUUUCGGGGGUACUCGAGCGGCGAACGGGUGAGUAACACGUGAGUAAUCUGCCCUUGGCUUUGGGAUAACUACCGGAAACGGUGGCUAAUACCGGAUACGACCACUCCUUGCAUGAGGUGGUGGUGGAAAGUUUUUUCGGCCGGGAUGUGCUCGCGGCCUAUCAGCUUGUUGGUGGGGUAAUGGCCUACCAAGGCUUCGACGGGUAGCCGGCCUGAGAGGGUGACCGGCCACACUGGGACUGAGACACGGCCCAGACUCCUACGAGAGGCAGCAGUGGGGAAUAUUGGACAAUGGGCGGAAGCCUGAUCCAGCAACGCCGCGUGAGGGAUGACGGCC
RNAcentral lists this ribosomal RNA (386 nucleotides) under uncultured bacterium. Its description in RNAcentral is "bacterial SSU rRNA". It matches the Rfam family "Bacterial small subunit ribosomal RNA", at positions 28 to 416 of the family's 1533-position model. The record is from RNAcentral.